AUUGAACGCUAGCGGGAUGCUUUACACAUGCAAGUCGAACGGCAGCGCGGACUUCGGUCUGGCGGCGAGUGGCGAACGGGUGAGUAAUGUAUCGGAACGUGCCCAGUAGCGGGGGAUAACUACGCGAAAGCGUAGCUAAUACCGCAUACGCCCUACGGGGGCAAGCAGGGGAUCGUAAGACCUUGCACUCUUGGAGCGGCCGAUAUCGGAUUAGCUAGUUGGUGAGGUAACGGCUCACCAAGGCGACGAUCCGUAGCUGGUGUGAGAGGACGACCGGCCACACUGGGACUGAGACACGGCCCAGACUCCUACGGGAGGCAGCAGUGUGGAAUUUUAGACAAUAGGGGCAACCCUGAUCCAGCCAUCCCGCGUGUGCUAUGAAGGCGUUCGGGUUGUAAAGCACUUUUGGCAGGAAAGAAACGUCGCGGGCUAAGACCCCGUGGAACUGACGGUACCUGCAGAAUAAGCACCGGCUAACUACGUG
RNAcentral lists this ribosomal RNA (484 nucleotides) under uncultured bacterium. Its description in RNAcentral is "partial 16S ribosomal RNA". It matches the Rfam family "Bacterial small subunit ribosomal RNA", at positions 30 to 507 of the family's 1533-position model. The record is from RNAcentral.